CCCUGAUUCUUGCUGCAGUGAUAUUUCGAACGGCUAGAUUAUCACCGGGUGACAAUUAGGACA
Molecule: microRNA precursor, 63 nt
Filed under: Caenorhabditis briggsae
Lineage: Eukaryota; Metazoa; Nematoda; Chromadorea; Rhabditida; Rhabditidae
Description: Cbr-Mir-36-o14_pre stem-loop
Source: RNAcentral